Molecule: ribosomal RNA, 253 nt
Filed under: uncultured bacterium
Lineage: Bacteria
Description: partial 16S ribosomal RNA
Rfam family: Bacterial small subunit ribosomal RNA
Source: RNAcentral
AACGUAGGUGGCCAGCGUUAUCCGGAUUUAUUGGGUUUAAAGGGUGCGUAGGCGGUCUGUUAAGUUAGAGGUGAAAUCCCGGUGCUCAACACCGGAACUGCCCCUGAUACUGGCAGGCUAGAGUAUAGUUGCUGUGGGCGGAAUGUAUGGUGUAGCGGUGAAAUGCUUAGAGAUCAUACAGAACACCGAUUGCGAAGGCAGCUCACAAAGCUAUUACUGACGCUGAGGCACGAAAGCGUGGGGAGCAAACAGG